GCUUAUCACCAUUCCAGAUUGAAUAUACCCGAUCUCGUCUGAUCUCGGAAGUCAAGCAAUCUCGGGUUUGGUUAGUACUUGGAUGGGUGACCGCUUGGGAAUACCAAGUGUGAUAAGCA
This is a non-coding RNA of Ciona savignyi (Pacific transparent sea squirt), 119 nucleotides long. NCBI's taxonomy places the organism in Eukaryota, Metazoa, Chordata, Ascidiacea, Phlebobranchia, Cionidae. The record is from Rfam.